RNAcentral lists this transfer RNA (87 nucleotides) under Pseudomonadota bacterium. Its description in RNAcentral is "tRNA-Leu". It matches the Rfam family "tRNA". From Rfam's summary of the family: Transfer RNA (tRNA) molecules are approximately 80 nucleotides in length. Their secondary structure includes four short double-helical elements and three loops (D, anti-codon, and T loops). Lineage: Bacteria; Pseudomonadati; Pseudomonadota. The record is from RNAcentral. RNAcentral also lists the same sequence under 1 other name.
GCGCGGGUGGCGAAAUUGGCAGACGCACCAGGUUUAGGUCCUGACGGUGGCGACACCGUGGGGGUUCGAGUCCCCCCCCGCGCACCA